UGUCGGUCACAGGUUGCAAGGGAACUUCACCUUGAAUGUGAGACCAAGAAAGGGAAAAAUUCCCUUCUUACAGCUGGCUACGGUGGAUGGCUAUUAUAUACUGCUGCUUCUGCUGGAGACCUGGAUUUUGUUCGAGAACUGCUCGAAAAAGAUCCCCUCUUGGUCUUUGGAGAAGGAGAGUAUGGUGUCACUGACAUAUUAUAUGCUGCUGCUAGGAGUAAAAACUGCGAGG
RNAcentral lists this unclassified non-coding RNA (232 nucleotides) under Hevea brasiliensis (rubber tree). The record is from RNAcentral. Lineage: Eukaryota; Viridiplantae; Streptophyta; Magnoliopsida; Malpighiales; Euphorbiaceae.